This 251-nucleotide ribosomal RNA is filed under the name uncultured bacterium. RNAcentral describes it as "partial 16S ribosomal RNA". It matches the Rfam family "Bacterial small subunit ribosomal RNA", at positions 524 to 776 of the family's 1533-position model. The record is from RNAcentral.
UACGAAGGGGGCUAGCGUUGUUCGGAAUCACUGGGCGUAAAGGCGCGUAGGCGGCUUUGUAAGUCGGGGGUGAAAGCCUGUGGCUCAACCACAGAAUUGCCUUCGAUACUGCAUGGCUUGAGACCGGAAGAGGUAAGUGGAACUGCGAGUGUAGAGGUGAAAUUCGUAGAUAUUCGCAAGAACACCAGUGGCGAAGGCGGCUUACUGGUCCGGUUCUGACGCUGAGGCGCGAAAGCGUGGGAGCAAACAGG